GUAGCUGGUCUGAGAGGAUGACCAGCCACACUGGAACUGAGACACGGUCCAGACUCCUACGGGAGGCAGCAGUGGGGAAUAUUGGACAAUGGGGGAAACCCUGAUCCAGCAAUGCCGCGUGUGUGAAGAAGGCCUUAGGGUUGUAAAGCACUUUCAGUGGGGAGGAGGGUUAUUAGGUUAAGAGCCAGAUAAUUGGACGUUACCCACAGAAGAAGCACCGGCUAACUCCGUGCCAGCAGCCGCGGUAAUACGGAGGGUGCAAGCGUUAAUCGGAAUUAUUGGGCGUAAAGGGUGCGUAGGUGGUUAGGUAAGUUAUCUGUGAAAGCCCCGGGCUCAACCUGGGACGGUCAGAUAAAACUGCUUGACUCGAGUAUAG
Molecule: ribosomal RNA, 376 nt
Filed under: uncultured Legionella sp.
Lineage: Bacteria; Pseudomonadati; Pseudomonadota; Gammaproteobacteria; Legionellales; Legionellaceae
Description: bacterial SSU rRNA
Rfam family: Bacterial small subunit ribosomal RNA
Source: RNAcentral